Molecule: ribosomal RNA, 891 nt
Filed under: uncultured Ascomycota
Lineage: Eukaryota; Fungi; Ascomycota
Description: eukaryotic LSU rRNA
Rfam family: Eukaryotic large subunit ribosomal RNA
Source: RNAcentral
CUUUUGACCUCGGAUCAGGUAGGGAUACCCGCUGAACUUAAGCAUAUCAAUAAGCGGAGGAAAAGAAACCAACAGGGAUUGCCCUAGUAACGGCGAGUGAAGCGGCAACAGCUCAAAUUUGAAAUCUGGCUCUUUCAGAGUCCGAGUUGUAAUUUGCAGAGGGCGCUUUGGCGUUGGCAGCGGUCCAAGUUCUUUGGAACAGGACGUCACAGAGGGUGAGAAUCCCGUACGUGGUCGCUAGCCUUCGCCGUGUAAAGCCCCUUCGACGAGUCGAGUUGUUUGGGAAUGCAGCUCUAAAUGGGAGGUAAAUUUCUUCUAAAGCUAAAUACUGGCCAGAGACCGAUAGCGCACAAGUAGAGUGAUCGAAAGAUGAAAAGCACUUUGGAAAGAGAGUCAAAUAGCACGUGAAAUUGUUGAAAGGGAAGCGCUUGCAGCCAGACUUGCCUGUAGUUGCUUAUCCGGACUUUUGUCCGGUGCACUCUUCUGCGGGCAGGCCAGCAUCAGUUUGGGCGGUUGGAUAAAGGUCUCUGUCAUGUACCUCCUUUCGGGGAGGCCUUAUAGGGGAGACGACAUGCAACCAGCCUGGACUGAGGUCCGCGCAUCUGCUAGGAUGCUGGCGUAAUGGCUGUAAGCGGCCCGUCUUGAAACACGGACCAAGGAGUCUAACAUCUAUGCGAGUGUUUGGGUGUCAAGCCCAGACGCGUAAUGAAAGUGAACGGAGGUGGGAACCCUUUGGGUGCACCAUCGACCGAUCCUGAUGUCUUCGGAUGGAUUUGAGUAAGAGCAUGGCUGUUGGGACCCGAAAGAUGGUGAACUAUGCUUGAAUAGGGUGAAGUCAGAGGAAACUCUGGUGGAGGCUCGCAGCGGUUCUGACGUGCAAAUCGAUCGUCA